UGUGGGACUGAGCUUGCGACAAGUAGGGCGGGGCACGUGAAACCCUGUCUGAACAUGGGGGGACCAUCCUCCAAGGCUAAAUACUCGUAAUCGACCGAUAGUGAACUAGUACCGUGAGGGAAAGGCGAAAAGAACCCCGGAGGGGAGUGAAAAUAGAUCCUGAAACCGCAUGCAUACAAACAGUGGGAGCCUCGCAAGGGGUGACUGCGUACCUUUUGUAUAAUGGGUCAGCGACUUACGUUCAGUAGCAAGCUUAACCGAAUAGGGGAGGCGUAGCGAAAGCGAGUCUGAAAAGGGCGAUAUAGUUGCUGGACGUAGACCCGAAACCAGAUGAUCUACCCAUGGCCAGGAUGAAGGUGGGGUAACACCCACUGGAGGUCCGAACCCACUAGUGUUGAAAAACUAGGGGAUGAGCUGUGGGUAGGGGUGAAAGGCUAAACAAAUCUGGAGAUAGCUGGUUCUCCCCCGAAAACUAUUUAGGUAGUGCCUC
RNAcentral lists this ribosomal RNA (490 nucleotides) under uncultured bacterium. RNAcentral describes it as "bacterial LSU rRNA". It matches the Rfam family "Bacterial large subunit ribosomal RNA", at positions 390 to 883 of the family's 2925-position model. The record is from RNAcentral.